UCAGUGGCGGACGGGUGAGUAACGCGUGAGUAACCUGCCUUUCAGAGGGGGAUAACGUCUGGAAACGGACGCUAAUACCGCAUAACAUUCUUAUUCCGCAUGGGAAAAGAAUCAAAGGAGCAAUCCGCUGAGAGAUGGACUCGCGUCCGAUUAGCCAGUUGGUGAGGUAAAGGCCCACCAAAGCUGCGAUCGGUAGCCGGACUGAGAGGUUGAACGGCCACAUUGGGACUGAGAUACGGCCCAGACUCCUACGGGAGGCAGCAGUGGGGGAUAUUGCACAAUGGAGGAAACUCUGAUGCAGCAACGCCGCGUGAGGGAAGACGGUCUUCGGAUUGUAAACCUUUGUCCUUGGUGACGAUAAUGACGGUAGCCAAGGAGGAAGCUCCGGCUAACUACGUGCCAGCAGCCGCGGUAAUACGUAGGGAGCAAGCGUUGUCCGGAUUUACUGGGUGUAAAGGGUGCGUAGGCGGCAGUGCAAGUCAGGUGUGAAACCCCUCGGCUCAACUGAGGGCUUGCAUUUGAAACUGUGCUGCUUGAGUGGAGUAAAGGCAGGCGGAAUUCCCGGUGUAGCGGUGAAAUGCGUAGAGAUCGGGGAGAACACCAGUGGCGAAAGCGGCCUGCUGGGCUUUAACUGACGCUGAGGCACGAAAGCAUGGGGUAGCAAACAGGAUUAGAUACCCUGGUAGUCCAUGCUGUAAACGAUGAUUACUAGGUGUGGGGGGUCUGACCCCUUCCGUGCCGGAGUUAACACAAUAAGUAAUCCACCUGGGGAGUACGGCCGCAAGGCUGAAACUCAAAGGAAUUGACGGGGGCCCGCACAAGCAGUGGAGUAUGUGGUUUAAUUCGAAGCAACGCGAAGAACCUUACCAGGUCUUGACAUCUGCUCAAUUUGGCGGAAAUGCUGAAGUGCCCUUCGGGGAAGAGCAAGACAGGUGGUGCAUGGUUGUCGUCAGCUCGUGUCGUGAGAUGUUGGGUUAAGUCCCGCAACGAGCGCAACCCUUGUGAUUAGUUGCUACGCAAGAGCACUCUAAUCAGACUGCCGUUGACAAAACGGAGGAAGGUGGGGAUGACGUCAAAUCAUCAUGCCCCUUAUGACCUGGGCUACACACGUACUACAAUGGGCGCCAACAAAGGGAAGCGAAACCGCGAGGCGGAGCGAACCCCCAAAAGCGCUCUCAGUUCGGAUUGCAGGCUGCAACCCGCCUGCAUGAAGCUGGAAUUGCUAGUAAUCGCGGAUCAUCAUGCCGCGGUGAAUACGUUCCCGGGCCUUGUACACACCGCCCGUCACACCAUGGGAGCCGGUAAUACCCGAAGUCGGUAGUCUAACCGCAAGG
RNAcentral lists this ribosomal RNA (1334 nucleotides) under uncultured Clostridium sp. RNAcentral describes it as "16S ribosomal RNA". It matches the Rfam family "Bacterial small subunit ribosomal RNA", at positions 92 to 1446 of the family's 1533-position model. The record is from RNAcentral. Lineage: Bacteria; Bacillati; Bacillota; Clostridia; Eubacteriales; Clostridiaceae.